RNAcentral lists this ribosomal RNA (848 nucleotides) under uncultured Verrucomicrobiales bacterium. Its description in RNAcentral is "bacterial SSU rRNA". It matches the Rfam family "Bacterial small subunit ribosomal RNA", at positions 8 to 826 of the family's 1533-position model. Lineage: Bacteria; Pseudomonadati; Verrucomicrobiota; Verrucomicrobiia; Verrucomicrobiales. The record is from RNAcentral.
AGAGUUUGAUCCUGGCUCAGAACGAACGCUGGCGGCGUGGAUUAGACAUGCAAGUCGUGCGACAGACCAGGAAUUGAUUACUUCGGUUUGAUUUUCCUGACGAUGAGCGGCGAACGGGUGCGUAACACGUGAGAAACCUGCCCUUAAGUUCGGGAUAGCCCUACGAAAGUAGGAUUAAUACCGAAUGUGGCCUUAGGAUAGCAUUUUCCUUUGGUUAAAGCUCGGUUAUAGAGCGCUUUUGGAUGGUCUCGCGGUCUAUCAGCUUGUUGGUGAGGUAACGGCUCACCAAGGCUCUGACGGAUAGCUGGUCUGAGAGGAUGAUCAGUCACACUGGAACUGAGAUACGGUCCAGACACCUACGGGUGGCAGCAGUCGAGAAUCAUUCACAAUGGGCGAAAGCCUGAUGGUGCGACGCCGCGUGGGGGAUGAAGGGCUUCGGUUCGUAAACCCCUGUCAUCUGUGAGUAAGGCUCCCAAUAAAAGCUUGGGAGAUUGAUAUUAGCAGAAGAGGAAGGGACGGCUAACUCAGUGCCAGCAGCCGCGGUAAUACUGAGGUCCCAAGCGUUGUUCGGAUUUACUGGGCGUAAAGGGUGCGUAGGCGGCUAUAAAAGUUUGAUGUGAAAUCUCCGGGCUCAACCCGGAAACUGCAUUGAAAACUAAUGGCUAGAGGAUCGGAGAGGAGAUUGGAAUUCUCAGUGUAGCAGUGAAAUGCGUAGAUAUUGAGAGGAACACCAGUUGCGAAGGCGGAUCUCUGGACGACUCCUGACGCUGAGGCACGAAAGCUGGGGUAGCGAAGAGGAUUAGAUACCCUCGUAGUCCCAGCCGUAAACGGUGCGCACUUGCUGUGGG